Molecule: long non-coding RNA, 555 nt
Organism: Jatropha curcas
Lineage: Eukaryota; Viridiplantae; Streptophyta; Magnoliopsida; Malpighiales; Euphorbiaceae
Source: RefSeq, a predicted model, not a curated record
CCCGGAAGUCUUUCUUUUUCCAUAACUGAUCAAUAAGAGUGCCCUAAUGAAUCAAUGAUUAGUCAUUUCCUUAGACAAUAUGUAGCAUCAUCACUUUACAGUAGAAAGACUAAGGAAAAACACAAGAAAGUGGAAGAAAAAUCCUCCCCUUCUUAAAGUUUUCAUGUUGGAGAGAAAACUUAUUAUGUGCGUCCCAAGUCCAUGUAUAUUUAAGCAGUGUAUUCCCCAUAUGCUACCAUAUUCAAUUCACAAGCUUUAAUUAUUUUCAGAUUCAAGAUUUUAGAAGAAAGAGAGAGAGAGAGAGAGACCUACAUACUGUACCUGAUAUUUGGUGUACUAUUAAAACUUCCACUGCUAUUCCUGUCUUCACCAAUCUUUCUCCUCUCCUCUUCUCUAAAUCUUUUCUCCAAAUGAGGCCUUCUUUUGUUGUUUCUCUUCUUCUUUUGUCCUUUCUUAUUCAUGAGGCUAAAGCAAUUCGCUUGGAAAAGGAAUUUAUGCAAGUGGCGCGGUAAAAGAUUCAUAAGGAGAAGAAGAGUACUUCAUUAACAGAAAGAA